GUACUGCUGAGGAGUCGCAUAAUAAGACGAAACGGCUGUCUAGUGC
Schistosoma rodhaini is the source of this 46-nucleotide non-coding RNA. The record is from Rfam. NCBI's taxonomy places the organism in Eukaryota, Metazoa, Platyhelminthes, Trematoda, Strigeidida, Schistosomatidae.